RNAcentral lists this ribosomal RNA (867 nucleotides) under uncultured bacterium. RNAcentral describes it as "bacterial SSU rRNA". It matches the Rfam family "Bacterial small subunit ribosomal RNA", at positions 41 to 887 of the family's 1533-position model. The record is from RNAcentral.
GGCAGGCCUAACACAUGCAAGUCGAGCGGUAGCGGGCCUGACCACUCUCGAGUGGUUCAGGUGCCGACGAGCGGCGGACGGGUGCGUAACACGUAGGAAUCUGCCCGGUAGUGGGGGAUAGCCCGGAGAAAUUCGGAUUAAUACCGCAUACGCCCUAAGGGGGAAAGCAGGGGAUCUUCGGACCUUGCGCUAUCGGAUGAGCCUGCGUCGGAUUAGCUAGUUGGUGGGGUAAAGGCCUACCAAGGCGACGAUCCGUAGCUGGUCUGAGAGGAUGAUCAGCCACACUGGGACUGAGACACGGCCCAGACUCCUACGGGAGGCAGCAGUGGGGAAUAUUGCACAAUGGGCGAAAGCCUGAUGCAGCCAUGCCGCGUGUGUGAAGAAGGCCCUAGGGUUGUAAAGCACUUUCAGUGGGGAGGAAAGGUCGAAGGUUAAUACCCUUUGGCUGUGACGUUACCCACAGAAGAAGCACCGGCUAACUCCGUGCCAGCAGCCGCGGUAAUACGGAGGGUGCGAGCGUUAAUCGGAAUUACUGGGCGUAAAGCGUGCGUAGGCGGCCAUUUAAGUUGGAUGUGAAAGCCCCGGGCUCAACCUGGGAACUGCAUCCAAAACUGGGUGGCUUGAGUGCGAGAGAGGAGUGUGGAAUUUCCUGUGUAGCGGUGAAAUGCGUAGAUAUAGGAAGGAACCNCCAGUGGCGAAGGCGACACUCUGGCUUGACACUGACGCUGAGGUACGAAAGCGUGGGGAGCAAACAGGAUUAGAUACCCUGGUAGUCCACGCCGUAAACGAUGUCUACUAGUUGUCGGUGGUCUUGUACUGCUGGUAACGCAGCUAACGCGAUAAGUAGACCGCCUGGGGAGUACGGCC